AAGUCGUAACAAGGUCUCCGUUGGUGAACCAGCGGAGGGAUCAUUGGUGACUUGUCCGCUCCAAAACACUGUGAACAUACCACUACGUUGCCUCGGCAGGCGGCUCCAGGGAGGAGCCUCCGGCCCCCUAUUGGGGGGGUGCCUGCCACAGGCCCCGGUUACUUGUUGUCUCUAGGCCGCUCUGAGUACCUGCAACAGCAGUGAAAACUUUCAACAAUGGAUCUCUUGGCUCUG
This 234-nucleotide unclassified non-coding RNA is filed under the name Xenoacremonium sp. RNAcentral's name for it is "partial contains small subunit ribosomal RNA, internal transcribed spacer 1, and 5.8S ribosomal RNA". The stretch from base 1 to 46 matches the Rfam family "Eukaryotic small subunit ribosomal RNA", at positions 1786 to 1831 of the family's 1831-position model. Lineage: Eukaryota; Fungi; Ascomycota; Sordariomycetes; Hypocreales; Nectriaceae. The record is from RNAcentral.